Sapajus apella (tufted capuchin) is the source of this 829-nucleotide long non-coding RNA. RefSeq lists it as uncharacterized. The transcript has 4 exons. The record is from RefSeq and is a predicted model, not a curated record. Lineage: Eukaryota; Metazoa; Chordata; Mammalia; Primates; Cebidae.
UGACAGAGUGAGACUCUGUCCAAAAAAAAACCCCAAAAAACAAAAAGUAGAGUCUAUGUUUCCUACUUUUUGAAUUUCACAUUGCCUUGUGACUUGCUUUGGCUAACAAAUGUGUCAGAAGUGACAAUAUGGGACUUCUGGAGCCUAGAUUGUGGAAAAUCUUGUGGCUUCCACUUUCACUCUCUUGGGACCUGCUGAUGCCAGGCCAGGAGCGAAGGCUAUUUUGCUGGAGAACCACACACAGGAGAACUGAGGUCCUUUGGCUGACAAUCCCAGCGUGGCCCUCCAGAAUGAACUGCAAGCUUGGAUGAGGCUCCAGGGAGCACUUACAUCCAUUGUUUAAGCUCCAAGAGGCUCUGAUUCCAUGAACUUUGCCAAUGAGAAGGUUGAAAAAUUGGAGUAGCGGAGCCCUGACACUUCCCAGACCCUCUCACAUAAUCUCUCAAGGAAUCCAGCUUAAUGGAUCAGCCCACUGCAGACAAAAGAACAUAAAACAGAAAAGGGAUCCAGAACCAGGCUCCCAAGAGUCUGACCACACAGCCAGCAGGAGGUCAGAGAGACAGCGUUUCACCAUGUUGGCCAGGCUGGUCUCAAACUCCCGACCUCAGGUGAUUCGCUCACCUCAGCUUCCCAAAGUGCUGGAAUUACAGGCAUGAGCCACCAUGCCUGGCUGAGAAGAUUGUUAAAUUUCAAACUUCUGCUUGCCAGAAUUAAACCAUUUUAAAUCAACCAUGGUGGCAGUAUUUACACCUUGGAUACUGGCAAACACUAUAGGUCAUUAAAUAAAAUAAGAUGUUAUUUUACUUAACAAAAAUUACAUUAAAAAAUU